GCACUACCUAUAGCAGAGCUCUUUCCCACCCCCACUCCAUUUUCACAUUGUCCACGCUAUCCAGAAUUAUUGGGAUGGCCUUACCCCAUUGAAGUUUACAUUUUAAACGGUUAGGGUUAGUUUUAGGUUAGGGUUAAGGGUUAGUUUUAGGUUAUGGUUAAGGUUAGGGUUUAGGGUUAGUUUUAGGUUAGGGUUAAGGUUAGGGUUAGGGUUUAUGGUAGGGUUUAGGGUUAGGGUUUAGGGUUAGGGUUUAUGGUAGGGUUUAGGGUUAGGGUUUAGGGUUUAUGGUUUAUGGUAGGGACGUGCCAAGGGCCCCUGAUAGCACUGAUGCUUUCCACACAGAAUUCAACCCAAAUAAUAAAAACAUGAAUCGAAAACCGUGAUUUUUGUAUUUAUUAUAAUGAGCCGAAACUAAACCCUGUCCACACGCCCAGUAUUUUCCUUUCGACACACCCAGUUGACCAUAGUCCAGUCUCCAUAUUGAGCUGCAGCUAACUACCUCUCUAUGUGAACGUGAGUAAAUUACCUUGAAAACAACGGCCGGACAUCUAGGAAGCAGUCUCCGGUUUGUAUUAUACCUCGGUGGUGGAAACGGAACAAAUAUCGACCGGAUCUUAUUCGGACGACAACAACAUGUAAUUAAAGAUGUUUUGAAGCCGGUGUACAAAACCGAAAGUAAACGACGCAAAGAAGCAUAGAAAUAGCAGAUCUACCGCUUCUCAGACUUGCUUUCAAUGAGAAGACCUCGAUCUAUAAAGGAUAUUAUUAUUAUUUUAUUCUUUAUGAAAGGUGUAACCAAGUCUUCUGAGAACACAGAGAAACAUGGCUACAGUCUUCAUCUGUUCCGUCUGUACCGAGAUUUUCACCGGACAUAUAUCGCUGAGCUGCCAACACAUCUUCUGUAGUCGAUGCCUCCAGAAGAGUGUGGACGCUGGUCGCGUCAUCUGUCCAGUGUGCGGAGAUCUAAUCACGUCGGAGAACUUCAGAGUCAACAGAAUACUAAGGGACAUGGCAGAUGAAGUGAGACGGAGAAGAGUUGAUCUCAGAGUGUUGAAGGGGAAUGAGGACGUUGAUGUGAAUAUCUGGGAAAGCUACAAGAAGAAGAAGAAGAAGAAGAAGAAAAAUGUUAAAAUAUCAAAGUCCUAUAUGAAGGAAGGCCUGGCUGUCAGAAAGACAGAGGGGAAGCUGAAGUCUUCUCUGACCACUGGUCCCUGGGAAGGUGGCAAAACGCAUCUCUGCGUGCCUGGCAGAAAUCUCAGUUUGGAUGUCAGCC
RNAcentral lists this long non-coding RNA (1273 nucleotides) under Salmo salar (Atlantic salmon). Its description in RNAcentral is "lncRNA (ENSSSAG00000090058.1)". The record is from RNAcentral. Lineage: Eukaryota; Metazoa; Chordata; Actinopteri; Salmoniformes; Salmonidae.